UUUUAACUUAAAUUUUAUUACUAAGGUAGUAUUAGUUAUGAUCUUGAAACUUAAAGAAUUUGGCGGUAUUAUAAUCUUUUUAGAGGAAUCUGUCCCGUGAUUGAUAAUCCACAUUAGACCUUACUUGAAUUUAAAGUAUGUAUAUCGCCGUAUAUUGAAUAUAUUAGAAGGUUUAAAUAAUUUUCGUGAGAUUUUAUUAUGUAUUAAUUCAGGUCAAGGUGCAGCUUAUAUUUAAGUGGAGAUGGAUUACAAUAUUUUUAAAAUAAAUGAAUUAUUUGAUGGAAUGAAUAUAUGAAGGUGGAUUUAAUAGUAAAGUUAUAAAGAUUAUUAGCUUGAUUGUAGUUCUAUAAUGUGC
RNAcentral lists this ribosomal RNA (355 nucleotides) under Perisphaerinae sp. MNHN BL596. Its description in RNAcentral is "partial 12S ribosomal RNA". The record is from RNAcentral. Lineage: Eukaryota; Metazoa; Arthropoda; Insecta; Blattodea; Blaberidae.